RNAcentral lists this ribosomal RNA (494 nucleotides) under uncultured bacterium. Its description in RNAcentral is "partial 16S ribosomal RNA". It matches the Rfam family "Bacterial small subunit ribosomal RNA", at positions 28 to 507 of the family's 1533-position model. The record is from RNAcentral.
GACGAACGCUGGCGGCGUGCUUAACACAUGCAAGUCGAACGGUGAAGCGCCUUCCUUUUUGAUGGGUGUGGAUGAGUGGCGAACGGGUGAGUAACACGUGAGUAACCUGCCCCCUUCUUCUGGAUAACCGCAUGAAAGUGUGGCUAAUACGGGAUAUUCUGGGUCUGUCGCAUGAUGGGUCUGGGAAAGAUAUUGUUUCGGUGGGGGAUGGGCUCGCGGCCUAUCAGCUUGUUGGUGGGGUGAUGGCCUACCAAGGCGGUGACGGGUAGCCGGCCUGAGAGGGUGGACGGUCACACUGGGACUGAGACACGGCCCAGACUCCUACGGGAGGCAGCAGUGGGGAAUAUUGCACAAUGGGCGCAAGCCUGAUGCAGCGACGCCGCGUGAGGGAUGGAGGCCUUCGGGUUGUGAACCUCUUUCGCCAGUGAAGCAGGCCUGCCUCGUUUGUGGGUGGGUUGACGGUAGCUGGAUAAGAAGCGCCGGCUAACUACGUG